GCUGGAGUUGCUAGUAAUCGCGAAUCAGCAUGUCGCGGUGAAUACGUUCCCGGGGCCUUGUACACACCGCCCGUCACACCAUGAGAGUUGGCAAUACCCAACGUACGUGAUCUAACCCGCAAGGGAGGAAGCGUCCUAAGGUAGGGUCAGCGAUUGGGGUGAAGUCGUAACAAGGUAGC
Molecule: ribosomal RNA, 179 nt
Filed under: uncultured bacterium
Lineage: Bacteria
Description: partial 16S ribosomal RNA
Rfam family: Bacterial small subunit ribosomal RNA
Source: RNAcentral